This 860-nucleotide ribosomal RNA is filed under the name Cadophora sp. TS2. Its description in RNAcentral is "eukaryotic LSU rRNA". The stretch from base 492 to 860 matches the Rfam family "Eukaryotic large subunit ribosomal RNA", at positions 1 to 368 of the family's 3401-position model. Lineage: Eukaryota; Fungi; Ascomycota; Leotiomycetes; Helotiales; Ploettnerulaceae. The record is from RNAcentral.
CUUGCUUCGUGGGGUUUCGAGCCGUCGACCCUCUCGGAGAAGGUCGGUCCUGAACUCCACCCUUGAAUAAAUUACCUUUGUUGCUUUGGCGGGCCGCCUCGCGCCAGCGGCUUCGGCUGUUGAGUGCCCGCCAGAGGACCACAACUCUUGUUUUUAGUGAUGUCUGAGUACUAUAUAAUAGUUAAAACUUUCAACAACGGAUCUCUUGGUUCUGGCAUCGAUGAAGAACGCAGCGAAAUGCGAUAAGUAAUGUGAAUUGCAGAAUUCAGUGAAUCAUCGAAUCUUUGAACGCACAUUGCGCCCUCUGGUAUUCCGGGGGGCAUGCCUGUUCGAGCGUCAUUAUAACCACUCAAGCUCUCGCUUGGUAUUGGGGUUCGCGGUUCCGCGGCCCCUAAAAUCAGUGGCGGUGCCUGUCGGCUCUACGCGUAGUAAUACUCCUCGCGUCUGGGUCCGGUAGGUCUACUUGCCAGCAACCCCCAAUUUUUACAGGUUGACCUCGGAUCAGGUAGGGAUACCCGCUGAACUUAAGCAUAUCAAUAAGCGGAGGAAAAGAAACCAACAGGGAUUACCUCAGUAACGGCGAGUGAAGCGGUAACAGCUCAAAUUUGAAAGCUAGCUCUUUUAGGGUUCGCAUUGUAAUUUGUAGAAGAUGCUUCGGGUGUGGCCCCGGUCUAAGUUCCUUGGAACAGGACGUCAUAGAGGGUGAGAAUCCCGUAUGUGACUGGGUGCUUUCGCUCAUGUGAAGCUCUUUCGACGAGUCGAGUUGUUUGGGAAUGCAGCUCAAAUGGGUGGUAAUUUCAUCUAAAGCUAAAUAUUGGCCAGAGACCGAUAGCGCACAAGUAGAGUGAUCGAAAGAUGAA